This 412-nucleotide long non-coding RNA is filed under the name Pongo abelii (Sumatran orangutan). RNAcentral's name for it is "lincRNA". Lineage: Eukaryota; Metazoa; Chordata; Mammalia; Primates; Hominidae. The record is from RNAcentral.
GUGGCCAGGGAGCUGCAGGCAAGGGACUAAGGGGAGGGGGGCUCAGUGCCAGCUGCUUAAAAAUGCCCCUGUGGCAGCGAGGGGCACCAGAGGCUGGGUCUAAUUAGUUGAGAAGCAGUGACACCCCCAACCACUCCCCAAACAGGCUGGCUCCCAUCUCCAGGCCCCAAGGAGCCACACCUGGACCAGACCCCAGGAAAGACAUGUGGUGGAAACCCUAGGGCCCUGGAUCCCAAGGAGAGCAAGGGCUGUAACAAGUGCACAGGCAAGGGCACUAGCUAGUGGGAGCCACCCCUGCUACGCUGAUGCUGGAGAAGCAAGAACUCUGGAGAAGCAGCCUCCUGGGACCAGAGGGGGGCCAGCAGCAGGCAGCUCGGCUACAGAACUGUGAGCCCACCCCACCUCCACCCCU